AGAGUUUGAUCCUGGCUCAGAAUGAACGCUGGCGGCACGGAUUAGGCAUGCAAGUCGAACGGGUUUUAUGCUUUCGGGCGUAAGAUCAGUGGCGUAAGGGUGAGUAACACGUGGGCAACCUGCCCCUGAAUCCGGGACAGCCUCGGGAAACCGUGAUUAAUACCGGAUGUUAUUUAUCUGUUGCAUGACGGAUAACUGAAAGAUUCAUUGUUCGGGGAUGGGCUCGCGUCCCAUCAGCUUGUUGGUGAGGUAACGGCUCACCAAGGCCGAGACGGGUAGCUGGUCUGAGAGGAUGGUCAGCCACACUGGGACUGAGACACUGCCCAGACUCCUACGGGAGGCUGCAGUCGAGAAUCAUCCGCAAUGGGCGCAAGCCUGACGGUGCGAUGCCGCGUGAGGGAUGACGGCCUUCGGGUUGUAAACCUCUGUCAGGAGGGACGAAGAAUGUGACGGUACCUCCAGAGGAAGCCACGGCUAACUACGUGCCAGCAGCCGCGGUAAUACGUAGGUGGCGAGCGUUAUUCGGAUUUACUGGGCGUAAAGGGUCCGCAGGGGGUUUGCCAAGUCUGAUGUGAAAUCUCAUGGCUCAACUGUGAAACUGCAUUGGAAACUGGCGAGCUGGAGUAUGCGAGGGGUGAGCGGAAUUCCUGGUGUAGCGGUGGAAUGCGUAGAUAUCAGGAAGAACACCGAUGGCGAAGGCGGCUCACUGGCGUAUUACUGACCCUGAUGGACGAAAGCGUGGGUAGCGAACAGGAUUAGAUACCCUGGUAGUCCACGCUGUAAACGUUGCGCACUAGAUGUGGGGGGAUCUGAUCCCUUCCGUGUCAAGCUAACGCGCUAAGUGCACCGCCUGGGGACUACGGCCGCAAGGCUAAAACUCAAAGGAAUUGACGGGGGCCCGCACAAGCGGUGGAGCAUGUGGCUCAAUUCGAGGCAACGCGAAGAACCUUACCUGGGCUUGACAUAUUCCUGAUCGCUGUGGAAACGCAGUUUCCUUUCGGGGCAGGAAUACAGGUGCUGCAUGGCUGUCGUCAGCUCGUGCCGUGAGGUGUUCGGUUAAGUCCGGCAACGAGCGCAACCCGUGUCGUCAGUUGCCAUCAGGUAAUGCUGGGGACUCUGGCGAGACUGCCCGUGUCAAGCGGGAGGAUGGCGCGGACGACGUCAAGUCCGUAUGGCCCUUACGCCCAGGGCUGCACACGUGCUACAAUGGGCGGUACAAUGGGAUGCAAUACCGCGAGGUGGAGCGAAUCCGUAAAAACCGUCCUCAGUUCGGAUUGGAGUCUGCAACUCGACUCCAUGAAGCGGGAAUCGCUAGUAAAGGGGUAUCAUCAACGGCCCCUUGAAUACGUUCCCGGGCCUUGUACACACCGCCCGUCACAUCAUGGAAGCUGGCUGCACCCGAAGUCCACGACCUAACUUUCGGGAAGGAGUGGCCGAAGGUGUGUCCAGUGACUGGGAUGAAGUCGUAACAACGUAACC
Molecule: ribosomal RNA, 1479 nt
Filed under: uncultured bacterium
Lineage: Bacteria
Description: 16S ribosomal RNA
Rfam family: Bacterial small subunit ribosomal RNA
Source: RNAcentral